Molecule: ribosomal RNA, 300 nt
Filed under: uncultured bacterium
Lineage: Bacteria
Description: bacterial SSU rRNA
Rfam family: Bacterial small subunit ribosomal RNA
Source: RNAcentral
AACGAACGCUGGCGGCGUGGAUAAGACAUGCAAGUCGAACGGGAUUAAAUCUGUAGCAAUACAGGUUUAGUUUAGUGGCGAACGGGUGCGUAACACGUGGGCAAUCUGCCGAGAAGUGGGGGAUAGCUCGCCGAAAGGCGAAUUAAUACCGCAUAUGAUCAGUGAAGACAUCUUCACGACAUACAAAGCCGGGGCAACCUGGCGCUUCUUGAUGAGCCCGCGGCCUAUCAGCUAGUUGGUGAGGUAACGGCUCACCAAGGCUAUGACGGGUANCUGGUCUGAGAGGACGACCAGUCACAC